UACAGAGGUGGCAAGCGUUGUUCGGAAUUACUGGGCGUAAAGGGCGCGUAGGCGGCCUCGUAAGUCCCGUGUGAAAGCCCCCGGCUCAACUGGGGAAUUGCACGGGAAACUGCGGGGCUUGAGUUCGGGAGAGGGAAGCGGAAUUCCGGGUGUAGCGGUGAAAUGCGUAGAUAUCCGGAGGAACACCAGUGGCGAAGGCGGCUUCCUGGACCGACACUGACGCUGAGGCGCGAAAGCUAGGGGAGCAAACGGG
Molecule: ribosomal RNA, 253 nt
Filed under: uncultured bacterium
Lineage: Bacteria
Description: partial 16S ribosomal RNA
Rfam family: Bacterial small subunit ribosomal RNA
Source: RNAcentral